This 253-nucleotide ribosomal RNA is filed under the name uncultured bacterium. RNAcentral describes it as "partial 16S ribosomal RNA". It matches the Rfam family "Bacterial small subunit ribosomal RNA", at positions 524 to 776 of the family's 1533-position model. The record is from RNAcentral.
UACGUAGGGGGCAAGCGUUGUCCGGAUUUAUUGGGCGUAAAGCGCUCGCAGGCGGUCCCGUGCGUCGUGCGUGAAAGGCCCCGGCUCAACCGGGGGCGGUCGUGCGAUACGGCGGGGCUGGAGGCCAGUAGGGGGGCGCGGAAUUCCGGGUGUAGUGGUGGAAUGCGUAGAGAUCCGGAGGAACACCAGCGGCGAAGGCGGCGUCCUGGACUGGACCUGACGCUCAGGAGCGAAAGCGUGGGGAGCGAUCCGG